RNAcentral lists this transfer RNA (59 nucleotides) under Pariaconus pele. RNAcentral describes it as "tRNA-Gly". The record is from RNAcentral. Lineage: Eukaryota; Metazoa; Arthropoda; Insecta; Hemiptera; Triozidae.
UUUCAUUAGUAUAUUUUAUUACAUUUAGCUUCCAACUAAAAAAUCUUUAGAUGAAAUAA